AACGCGAAGAACCUUACCUGGAUUUGACAUCCUGGGACAACCCGAGAGAUCGGGCUUUCGUAGCAAUACGACCCAGAGACAGGUGCUGCAUGGCUGUCGUCAGCUCGUGUGGUGACAUGUUGGGUUAAGUCCCGCAACGAGCGCAACCCCUGUCUUUAGUUGCCAGCAUUGAGUUGGGCACUCUAAAGAGACUGCCGUGGUGAACACGGAGGAAGGUGGGGAUGACGUCAAGUCCUCAUGGCCUUUAUAUCCAGGGCGACACACGUGAUACAAUGGACGGUACAAAGGGACGCCAAGAAGCAAUUCGGAGCUAAUCUCAAAAAGCCGUUCUCAGUUCGGAUUGGAGUCUGCAACUCGACUCCAUGAAGUUGGAAUCGCUAGUAAUCGCGGAUCAGCACGCCGCGGUGAAUACGUUCCCGGGCCUUGUACACACCGCGCAUA
RNAcentral lists this ribosomal RNA (441 nucleotides) under uncultured bacterium. RNAcentral's name for it is "bacterial SSU rRNA". It matches the Rfam family "Bacterial small subunit ribosomal RNA", at positions 958 to 1398 of the family's 1533-position model. The record is from RNAcentral.